UACAUGGGGUGCAAACGUUGCUCGGAAUUAUUGGGCGUAAAGCGCGCGUAGGCGGUUAUCUAAGUCGGAUGUGAAAGCCCUCGGCUUAACUGAGGAAGUGCACCCGAAACUGGAUAGCUAGAGUACGAAAGAGGGUCGCGGAAUUCCCGGUGUAGAGGUGAAACUCGUAGAUAUCGGGAGGAACACCGGUGGCGAAGGCGGCGACCUGGGUCGAGACUGACGCUGAGGCGCGAAAGCGUGGGGAGCAAACAGG
Molecule: ribosomal RNA, 253 nt
Filed under: uncultured bacterium
Lineage: Bacteria
Description: partial 16S ribosomal RNA
Rfam family: Bacterial small subunit ribosomal RNA
Source: RNAcentral